Molecule: non-coding RNA, 27 nt
Filed under: Rattus norvegicus (Norway rat)
Lineage: Eukaryota; Metazoa; Chordata; Mammalia; Rodentia; Muridae
Source: RNAcentral
GGUUCAGGUUGCUUGGAAAUGCUCUGG